RNAcentral lists this transfer RNA (64 nucleotides) under Curculionoidea sp. 12 KM-2017. Its description in RNAcentral is "tRNA-Gly". The record is from RNAcentral. Lineage: Eukaryota; Metazoa; Arthropoda; Insecta; Coleoptera.
ACUUUUAUAAUAUAAAUAAUUAUACUUGAUUUCCAAUCAAAAAAUCUAAAUCUUAGUGAAAGUA